AUGGCAGAUCAUAGAUAAAUCAUUAAAUCUCAUUAUCAGUCAUAUGAUAGAUGUGAUUAGCUCAUGUUGAAUAGUAAUUUUCAAUAAAAAAAAUUUUUCAUUAAUCACUCUGCUUGACCAUAGACUUAUGGACUCAGCUUUUCAAAUCUCAUAGAACUAUUCCUCUCUAUCAAGAUUGAUAGAUCCCAUAUAGAUGUAUAUGUUGCUCAU
This 210-nucleotide long non-coding RNA is filed under the name Elaeis guineensis (African oil palm). RNAcentral's name for it is "long non-coding RNA (EGUI_LNC079074)". The record is from RNAcentral. Lineage: Eukaryota; Viridiplantae; Streptophyta; Magnoliopsida; Arecales; Arecaceae.